RNAcentral lists this ribosomal RNA (253 nucleotides) under uncultured bacterium. RNAcentral describes it as "partial 16S ribosomal RNA". It matches the Rfam family "Bacterial small subunit ribosomal RNA", at positions 524 to 776 of the family's 1533-position model. The record is from RNAcentral.
UACGUAGGGUGCAGGCGUUAAUCGGAAUUACUGGGCGUAAAGCGUGCGCAGGCGGUUUGCUAAGACAGGUGUGAAAUCCCCGGGCUUAACCUGGGAACUGCGCUUGUAACUGGCAAGCUUGAGUGUGGCAGAGGGGGGUGGAAUUCCACGUGUAGCAGUGAAAUGCGUAGAGAUGUGGAGGAACACCGAUGGCGAAGGCAGCCCCCUGGGCUAACACUGACGCUGAGAGACGAAAGCUAGGGGAGCGAAUGGG